GACGAACGCUGGCGGCGUGCUUAACACAUGCAAGUCGAACGGAAAGGCCCCCACCUUGGUGGGGGUGCUCGAGUGGCGAACGGGUGAGUAACACGUGGGUGAUCUGCCCUGUACUUCGGGAUAAGCUUGGGAAACUGGGUCUAAUACCGGAUAGGACCAUGGUUUAGUGUCUCAUGGUGGAAAAAUUAUUGUUUUGGUGCAGGAUGAGCUCGCGGCCUAUCAGCUUGUUGGUGGGGUAAUGGCCUACCAAGGCGUCGACGGGUAGCCGGCCUGAGAGGGUGGACGGCCACAUUGGGACUGAGAGACGGCCCAGACUCGUACGGGAGGCAGCAGUGGGGAAUAUUGCACAAUGGGAGCAAGCCUGAUGCAGCGACGCCGCGUGGGGGAUGACGGCCUUCGGGUUGUAAACUCCUUUCGUUAGGGACGAAGCCACACCUUUUUUGGGUGUGGUGACGGUACCUUUGUUAAGAAGCACCGGCUAACUACGUG
RNAcentral lists this ribosomal RNA (489 nucleotides) under uncultured bacterium. RNAcentral describes it as "partial 16S ribosomal RNA". It matches the Rfam family "Bacterial small subunit ribosomal RNA", at positions 28 to 507 of the family's 1533-position model. The record is from RNAcentral.